Molecule: ribosomal RNA, 253 nt
Filed under: uncultured bacterium
Lineage: Bacteria
Description: partial 16S ribosomal RNA
Rfam family: Bacterial small subunit ribosomal RNA
Source: RNAcentral
UACGAAGGGGGCUAGCGUUGCUCGGAAUCACUGGGCGUAAAGGGUGCGUAGGCGGGUCUUUAAGUCAGGGGUGAAAUCCUGGAGCUCAACUCCAGAACUGCCUUUGAUACUGAAGAUCUUGAGUUCGGGAGAGGUGAGUGGAACUGCGAGUGUAGAGGUGAAAUUCGUAGAUAUCGGGAGGAACACCAGUGGCGAAGGCGGCGACCUGGGCAGAUACUGACACUGAGGUGCGAAAGCGUGGGGAGCAAACAGG